AGAGUUUGAUCCUGGCUCAGGACGAACGCUGGCGGCGUGCUUAACACAUGCAAGUCGAACGGAAAGGCCCUGCUUGCAGGGUACUCGAGUGGCGAACGGGUGAGUAACACGUGGGUGAUCUGCCCUGCACUUCGGGAUAAGCUUGGGAAACUGGGUCUAAUACCGGAUAGGACCGCACUUUAGUGUGUGUGGUGGAAAGUUUUUUCGGUGUAGGAUGAGCUCGCGGCCUAUCAGCUUGUUGGUGGGGUAAUGGCCUACCAAGGCGGCGACGGGUAGCCGGCCUGAGAGGGUGUACGGCCACAUUGGGACUGAGAUACGGCCCAGACUCCUACGGGAGGCAGCAGUGGGGAAUAUUGCACAAUGGGCGCAAGCCUGAUGCAGCGACGCCGCGUGGGGGAUGAAGGCCUUCGGGUUGUAAACUCCUUUCGCUAGGGACGAAGCUUUGUUGUGACGGUACCUAGAUAAGAAGCACCGGCUAACUACGUGCCAGCCGCCGCGGUAAUAC
This 505-nucleotide ribosomal RNA is filed under the name uncultured bacterium. RNAcentral describes it as "bacterial SSU rRNA". It matches the Rfam family "Bacterial small subunit ribosomal RNA", at positions 8 to 526 of the family's 1533-position model. The record is from RNAcentral.